UACUACAACUGAAAGAGAGAAAGGGAGACAACUUGGUAACAGAAGUGACAUCCAGAUAGGAGAUCUUAAGUCUUCAACUGAUCCUACUUGGGAAGAAAAAUGAAGAGAUUGAUUCAUGAUUUAUUCCUGCUCCUGUGGCUGCAGCUGCACUUGCUGAGCCAAGGAGAGAAGGUGGAGCAGAGUCCUUCUGUCCUGAGUGUGCAGGAGGGAGACAGCUGUGUCAUCAACUGUACUUACACAGACAGUGCCUUCUCAUACUUCCCUUGGUACAAGCAAGAACCAGGACAGGGUCCCCAGCUUAUUAUAGACAUCCGUUCAAAUCGGGACAGAAAUGAAAAUGGAAAACUCCUGGUCUUAUUGAAGAAGAAUGACAAACGCCUUUCCCUGCUCAUCAAAGACACUCAGCCUGGGGACUCAGCUGUCUACUACUGCGCAGCAAGUACACAUUGCUCCCCAGGCACCUGCAGCCCGUCCUCAAACCUGCCUCUAGGAUUGCAGCCCACAUCUUUCCUUGCCAUAGCCCUUCCAGCCCAGUCAUUUGCCUAUUGUUUGCAAGUGGCAGCUAACACAGAUACUAAGAAUAAAUAUUAA
This is a non-coding RNA of Dipodomys spectabilis (banner-tailed kangaroo rat), 591 nucleotides long. NCBI's taxonomy places the organism in Eukaryota, Metazoa, Chordata, Mammalia, Rodentia, Heteromyidae. The record is from the annotation of a RefSeq genome assembly.